RNAcentral lists this ribosomal RNA (485 nucleotides) under uncultured bacterium. RNAcentral describes it as "partial 16S ribosomal RNA". It matches the Rfam family "Bacterial small subunit ribosomal RNA", at positions 28 to 523 of the family's 1533-position model. The record is from RNAcentral.
GACGAACGCUGGCGGCGUGCUUAACACAUGCAAGUCGAACGGUGAAAGCGGAGCUUGCUCCGCUGGAUCAGUGGCGAACGGGUGAGUAACACGUGGGCAACCUGCCCCUCACUUCGGGAUAACUCCGGGAAACCGGGGCUAAUACCGGAUAUGACCUCCUUGGGCAUCCUUGGAGGUGGAAAGUUUUUCGGUGAGGGAUGGGCCCGCGGCCUAUCAGCUUGUGGGUGAGGUAGUGGCUCACCAAGGCGACGACGGGUAGCCGGCCUGAGAGGGCGACCGGCCACACUGGGACUGAGACACGGCCCAGACUCCUCCGGGAGGCAGCAGUGGGGAAUAUUGCGCAAUGGGCGAAAGCCUGACGCAGCAACGCCGCGUGCGGGAUGACGGCCUUCGGGUUGUAAACCGCUUUCAGCAGGGAAGAAGCCGCAAGGUGACGGUACCUGCAGAAGAAGCACCGGCUAACUACGUGCCAGCAGCCGCAGUAA